AUACUUAUCUAGUAGGGGGACACCAUGAUCAGGAGGGUGACUUUCCCUGAGUGAGGCUCAUUCAUUCCAUUUGUCAUAUGCUGACUCCUGCAAUUUCCUCAAAUUUGGAAAAGUUGGCUGUAUAAUUUGUGGUAGUGGGAGACUGUGUUCACACUCUGCCCUG
Molecule: small nuclear RNA, 163 nt
Organism: Phodopus roborovskii (desert hamster)
Lineage: Eukaryota; Metazoa; Chordata; Mammalia; Rodentia; Cricetidae
Product: U1 spliceosomal RNA
Exons: 1
Source: RefSeq, a predicted model, not a curated record